CACGGGGGGAGCAAGCGUUGUUCGGAAUCACUGGGCGUAAAGGGCGUGUAGGCGGUCAAGUAAGUGGAAUGUGAAACGCCUCGGCUUACCCGAGGACCUGCAUCCCAAACUGCUUGGCUUGAGUAUGGGAGAGGAUGAGGGAAUUCCUGGUGUAGCGGUGAAAUGCGUAGAUAUCAGGAGGAACACCGGUGGCGAAGGCGCACAUCUGGCCCGAUACUGACGCUGAGGCGCGAAAGCUAGGGGAGCAAAC
RNAcentral lists this ribosomal RNA (250 nucleotides) under uncultured bacterium. RNAcentral's name for it is "partial 16S ribosomal RNA". It matches the Rfam family "Bacterial small subunit ribosomal RNA", at positions 524 to 773 of the family's 1533-position model. The record is from RNAcentral.